Molecule: ribosomal RNA, 253 nt
Filed under: uncultured prokaryote
Description: partial 16S ribosomal RNA
Rfam family: Bacterial small subunit ribosomal RNA
Source: RNAcentral
ACGUAGGUGGCAAGCGUUGUCCGGAUUUACUGGGCGUAAAGAGCGCGCAGGCGGUUGAUUAAGUCGAAUGUGAAAGCCCCCGGCUCAACUGGGGAGGGUCAUUCGAUACUGAUCGACUUGAAGGCAGGAGAGGGAAGUGGAAUUCCGGGUGUAGUGGUGAAAUGCGUAGAUAUCGGAAGGAACAUCAGUGGCGAAAGCGACUUCCUGGACCAGUACCGACGUUCAGGCACGAAAGCGUGGGGAGCAAACAGGA